UUUCUUUGAUGGAAUUAACAUAUUCAUCUGAAUACCAGACUCGCGCCAUCCAAUGAAACUACAUUAUUCGAAGAUGGCCACAUGUGUCCAGCAGAAGAGUUAUGAAUUUGUAAUGCUUUGAAGAUGUUAAUACGAAGAGAAGAAACAUCAUGUAGAAACAUCUUCCAGUGAUGAUGCCAACCUGAAUAGAUAAGAUGGUUCAAAUGCCAUGAGCUAAUAACUUUGGUAAAUGAUAUGUACUGUAGCACACAAACAAACAUAUAGGCUUAGACAGCAAAUACAUGCUUGCAGAAUAAUCAUUUUGCAAGCAAAAGGCAAACCAUAGUGAUGUUUUCAAAGCAAGUAGCUUACGACUACAUAUGGCAGCUGACAUUUAUUCCUACUGGCAUAUUUUCAAACUUCACAUGUGUAUCUAUACCAAUAUUAUUGUGGCUGGGUAUGAAUUCACGAACAUUCAUACCUUCAAAUAUAGUUCAAGCUAUGUAUAAACAUUAGAAAAGACUAGAGAUUUUUUCCUUUCACACAAUCAACUCAGGUACAGGCAUAAUGUGUAUAUAAUUAUGAAAGAUAGAUCAUACAGGACCAUGAAGAAAUUCUGGAAGCAAGAUGCAGUUGUUGUAAGAAUCAAAUGAAAAGCAAGGUUAUACAUUUAUUUGAAUGAAAGAUAACACAAUGCAUGGUGAAUUAGGAAAAUUAGCUAACAACACAGGCAAGCAUCAUAGAUAAGCAUUGUUUCAUGUUCAUACUCAAUAGGAUGAAGUAAGCAAAAGUAGUUUGAUUUUCACAUCUGAGUUCUGCUAUGAUAAUCCUUGAAUAUUUAGUAAGAGUCAUGACACUCAGAAGUUGAACUUCACAAAUUUGCACAAAAUACUAGAAUGUUGAGAUCCUGGAAUGAUUACGCCAUGACCAAAUUUGUGCAAAAAGCAAUGACUCGUAAGCAAAUUUUCUAUGCACAACUAAAAAAUGCCAUGCAGAUGUCCGUAGUGGCAGGACGUCGGUGUAUAAGUUAGUGGAUUAAUUAAACAAUGCAUUAGUGGGGAUGUGACGGUCAUAUGGUUCGUCUGCCUAGUCGUACAAGGACCAAAAUGCAUGGAUCCAUACGGGGUUUUUUAGAACAGCGACGCAUGCAUCAGCCUGUAUAUAUGUAUGGCUGAAUACCUGCUUAUGUACACAUACGUAUUUGGGUAUUUGUGCCACCGGCCGUCAUGCAUCUUUUGAUUCAGGCAUGGACACUGGUACGCCUGCGUUUUAUAUUUUGAUUAGUGUCAAACACACAGGCUCAAGCUAUACAGCACAAAUGAUACCUAGAUCUUGUAGAAGUUUCUCAGAAUAUCUAAUUUCCUGUAACAAUGUAGUUGCUGCAUUGUUUAUAAAGUUGAAAAGUAUACAGAAACUAUUAUGUAUCCGAUGGUAUGAAAGUUGAAGCAUGAUUUAUGGCACCGAUGUGAACGUACAUAACUCCAAGCAAAUAUUUGAACAAACUAGUGGCGUAAAUGCAGUAACAAACUCUGUCUCUCCCUUUCACUGAUAAUUUAAAUACAAAAACUAAAAAUUUGCACUCAACCAAUGGCAUUGACAUCCAGAAAAACCAGAGGCCAUGGUCGCUUUUUGAAAUAGCCCCCAGUUAAGAGGAGAAAGUAUAUGUAUUUCGAAUAAAAUUAUGCAAAGAAUGACUUACACACAUGUAAACCUUUGCUCCCAAGUCCCACCAUCAGUCCAUUAAAAAGGAUUUCCUGAAAGAAA
RNAcentral lists this long non-coding RNA (1743 nucleotides) under Triticum aestivum (bread wheat). RNAcentral's name for it is "long non-coding RNA (TAES_LNC000156)". The record is from RNAcentral. Lineage: Eukaryota; Viridiplantae; Streptophyta; Magnoliopsida; Poales; Poaceae.